This 76-nucleotide transfer RNA is filed under the name Sphingomonas sp. RNAcentral's name for it is "tRNA-Lys". It matches the Rfam family "tRNA". From Rfam's summary of the family: Transfer RNA (tRNA) molecules are approximately 80 nucleotides in length. Their secondary structure includes four short double-helical elements and three loops (D, anti-codon, and T loops). RNAcentral also lists the same sequence under 3 other names. Lineage: Bacteria; Pseudomonadati; Pseudomonadota; Alphaproteobacteria; Sphingomonadales; Sphingomonadaceae. The record is from RNAcentral.
GGACGUAUAGCUCAGUUGGUAGAGCAGCUGACUCUUAAUCAGCGGGUCCUAGGUUCGAGCCCUAGUGCGUCCACCA